This 120-nucleotide small nucleolar RNA is filed under the name Echinops telfairi (small Madagascar hedgehog). RNAcentral describes it as "Small nucleolar RNA SNORA61 (ENSETEG00000025580.1)". The record is from RNAcentral. Lineage: Eukaryota; Metazoa; Chordata; Mammalia; Afrosoricida; Tenrecidae.
ACCCUCCAGAUUCCUUACCCAUCAGUCGUACAUAUUGAUCUGAGUGGUUAUAAAAUGAGGAAAAGUAACACUAAAAUGGACUUGGAUUCUUCAGUGACAUGUAAGUUUAUUUAGACCCAC